This 397-nucleotide ribosomal RNA is filed under the name uncultured bacterium. RNAcentral describes it as "partial 16S ribosomal RNA". It matches the Rfam family "Bacterial small subunit ribosomal RNA", at positions 523 to 918 of the family's 1533-position model. The record is from RNAcentral.
AUACGUAGGUGGCGAGCGUUGUCCGGAAUUACUGGGCGUAAAGGGCGCGUAGGCGGAUCGUUAAGUUGGACGUGAAAUACCCCGGCUCAACUGGGGGGCGACGUUCAAAACUGGCGGACUAGAGUGCAGGAGAGGAAAGUAGAAUUCCCAGUGUAGCGGUGAAAUGCGUAGAUAUUGGGAGGAAUACCGGUGGCGAAGGCGGCUUUCUGGACUGUAACUGACGCUGAGGCGCGAAAGCUGGGGGAGCGAACAGGAUUAGAUACCCUGGUAGUCCCAGCCGUAAACAAUGAACACUAGGUGUAGGGGGUAUCGACCCCUCCUGUGCCGCAGCUAACGCAUUAAGUGUUCCGCCUGGGGAGUACGGCCGCAAGGUUGAAACUCAAAGGAAUUGACGGGG